GAUGAACGCUGGCGGCGUGCCUAACACAUGCAAGUCGAGCGAGGGUUUGCUCAGUAUUGAGUAUUCUAAGACUAGAAUGUUCAAUUCUGAGCAAAACCAAGCGGCGGACGGGUGAGUAACGCGUGGGUAACCUGCCCUAUACACAUGGAUAACAUACUGAAAAGUUUACUAAUACAUGAUAAUAUAUAUUUGUGGCAUCGCAGAUAUAUCAAAGUGUUAGCGGUAUAGGAUGGACCCGCGUCUGAUUAGCUAGUUGGUGAGAUAACUGCCCACCAAGGCGACGAUCAGUAGCCGACCUGAGAGGGUGAUCGGCCACAUUGGAACUGAGACACGGUCCAAACUCCUACGGGAGGCAGCAGUGAGGAAUAUUGCACAAUGGGCGAAAGCCUGAUGCAGCAACGCCGCGUGAACGAUGAAGGUCUUCGGAUCGUAAAGUUCUGUUGCAGGGGAAGAUAAUGACGGUACCCUGUGAGGAAGCCCCGGCUAACUACGUGCCAGCAGCCGCGGUAAUACGUAGGGGGCUAGCGUUAUCCGGAUUUACUGGGCGUAAAGGGUGCGUAGGUGGUCCUUCAAGUCGGUGGUUAAAGGCUACGGCUCAACCGUAGUAAGCCGCCGAAACUGGAGGACUUGAGUGCAGGAGAGGAAAGUGGAAUUCCCAGUGUAGCGGUGAAAUGCGUAGAUAUUGGGAGGAACACCAGUAGCGAAGGCGGCUUUCUGGACUGCAACUGACACUGAGGCACGAAAGCGUGGGUAGCAAACAGG
This 762-nucleotide ribosomal RNA is filed under the name uncultured Peptostreptococcus sp. RNAcentral describes it as "bacterial SSU rRNA". It matches the Rfam family "Bacterial small subunit ribosomal RNA", at positions 28 to 776 of the family's 1533-position model. The record is from RNAcentral. Lineage: Bacteria; Bacillati; Bacillota; Clostridia; Peptostreptococcales; Peptostreptococcaceae.